GAUGAACGCUGGCGGCGUGCCUAAUACAUGCAAGUCGAGCGAACAGACGAGGAGCUUGCUCCUCUGACGUUAGCGGCGGACGGGUGAGUAACACGUGGAUAACCUACCUAUAAGACUGGGAUAACUUCGGGAAACCGGAGCUAAUACCGGAUAAUAUAUUGAACCGCAUGGUUCAAUAGUGAAAGACGGUUUUGCUGUCACUUAUAGAUGGAUCCGCGCCGCAUUAGCUAGUUGGUAAGGUAACGGCUUACCAAGGCAACGAUGCGUAGCCGACCUGAGAGGAUGAUCGGCCACACUGGAACUGAGACACGGUCCAGACUCCUACGGGAGGCAGCAGUAGGGAAUAUUCCACAAUGGGCGAAAGCCUGACGGAGCAACGCCGCGUGAGUGAUGAAGGUCUUCGGAUCGUAAAACUCUGUUAUUAGGGAAGAAAAAAUGUGUAAGUAACUCUGCACGUCUUGACGGUACCUAAUCAGAAAGCCACGGCUAACUACGUG
This 497-nucleotide ribosomal RNA is filed under the name uncultured bacterium. RNAcentral describes it as "partial 16S ribosomal RNA". It matches the Rfam family "Bacterial small subunit ribosomal RNA", at positions 28 to 507 of the family's 1533-position model. The record is from RNAcentral.